GUGGUGCUGCGGUGGUGGCCGCCGACGGCGCUGGGACCGUCGCCGGCGCUGCCGGGCGAAGGGCGCGCUGGGCACAGGCCCGGAGCACCGCG
This 92-nucleotide transfer RNA is filed under the name Actinoplanes sp. OR16. Its description in RNAcentral is "tRNA-Pro". Lineage: Bacteria; Bacillati; Actinomycetota; Actinomycetes; Micromonosporales; Micromonosporaceae. The record is from RNAcentral.